CCUACGGGGGGCUUCAGUAAGGAAUAUUGGUCAAUGGACGCAAGUCUGAACCAGCCAUGCCGCGUGGAGGAUGAAGGUCCUCUGGAUUGUAAACUUCUUUUAUUUGGGAAGAAACUCCCGAUUUCCAUCGGGAUUGACGGUACCAGAUGAAUAAGCACCGGCUAACUCCGUGCCAGCAGCCGCGGUAAUACGGAGGGUGCAAGCGUUAUCCGGAUUAACGGGGCGUAAAGGGGCAGGUGGGUGGCAGGUAAAAUCUCCGGGCUUAACCCGGAAACUGCCAUUGAUACUAUUUGUCUUGCAUACUCUGGAGGUGAGCGGAAUAUGUCAUGUAGCGGUGAAAUGCUUAGAUAUGACAUAGAACACCCAUUGCGAAGGCAGCUCACUACGGAAAUAUUGACGCUGAGGCACGAAAGCGUGGGGAUCAAACAGGAUUAGAUACCCUGGUAGUC
RNAcentral lists this ribosomal RNA (449 nucleotides) under uncultured bacterium. RNAcentral's name for it is "partial 16S ribosomal RNA". It matches the Rfam family "Bacterial small subunit ribosomal RNA", at positions 338 to 795 of the family's 1533-position model. The record is from RNAcentral.